UGGCAGAUCUACCACCUGACUUCUGGAGAAAAGGAGCCAUGCCCAUGCCUUGAAACACACUUGGCUCUACGGUCACUAGGAAAUUGAUAUCUUGGGAAGUGCUCUACGGGAAUGGUCAGGUUGGAGAGAGAGACUGACUGCCAAGAAGACGUUAAGAAUGACAGAGUGUGAGAAGCUGCGCAACGCCAGCCUUGGCACAGACAGCUACGCCAUCCGAGGCCAAAGUGUACCUCUAAGGGAGCCCCAGUGGUUGGACCAAGCUACCGGGUGGCCUCAGAGGACAGCGAGGGGGCUGAAGCCUGAGGAAUACCUCUUUCUUCCUGGCUGCCCAGAGCCCUGCCCUCAUGCUCACACCACAUUCCUGCAAGGAGACAUUGCCUUGGUCUGCUAGCCUGGACCCUCUCAGAGUUGGAAGGGCCUUUUAGAGUAAGUGACUUGCUGGACUCAGACCAGGGUGGCAGAAGCAGAAUCUCAACCCAGAGCUUUGUGACGGCUACUUCCUCCACUGUGGCAAGCCAAGACCUCCAGCUCUGGGUGGCUGGCUUCAGAAUCAGCACAGCGACGCUGUGAUCUCAUGCUGAUUAAGAGCAAGAGAUAACAGCAUAGGUGGGGCUAUG
This 617-nucleotide long non-coding RNA is filed under the name Homo sapiens (human). Its description in RNAcentral is "HSALNT0005404". Lineage: Eukaryota; Metazoa; Chordata; Mammalia; Primates; Hominidae. The record is from RNAcentral.